Long non-coding RNA from Suricata suricatta (meerkat), 1814 nucleotides. RefSeq lists it as uncharacterized. The record is from RefSeq and is a predicted model, not a curated record. NCBI's taxonomy places the organism in Eukaryota, Metazoa, Chordata, Mammalia, Carnivora, Herpestidae. The transcript is spliced from 4 exons.
GCCCGCGGGGUGACCCGGGGUAGGUGGGGAUCCCCCACCGCCACCCGCUAGCAGGCAGGAUGAGGUCUCCGUGCAGCCCCUAGGAAACGUCAAGUCUCCCUUCAGGAAAGGGGGUGGCAAAUACCAGGAGUCAAGUAUUAGGAAGAUGCCCUUUGGAUCAGGACUGUCCACAGGGAGGUUCCACCCACCAGUGGCCCUUAGAGAGAAAGGACUCCAGUGCUUGUUGGCCUCACGCUGGAUUGCAGCUGAACUUUUUCUGAAAUGAGGACACUUGGUUACACGAAGUAACAGGUGUCAACCGCCCAAGGAAAAGGCCCUUGAAAAAGAAGUCCAGCUCACCACACAGCCUGGCAGCGCAGGCACAAGAGCUGAGCUGUCCCCCCUGAAACACCUGGCUCAGACGUGGGAAUGGCUCGGCCAGCUCCGUGGGUGGGGAGCGCAGAGGCUCCAGCCGGUGUCACGCCCCACCCCACAAGCUCCCGGGAAAGGAGAACACUGCCACUUUGAGGGGAGUCCAUUCUGAUCUGCUCACUCCUCACCCGGCCCCCAGUGCUCACGAGAAGGGCUUGGCGGAGACCGACCAUGGCGGAGUGGGGACCUCGGCUUGUCCCCAGGCCCGCGGCUGCACAGAGAAGAUGAUGAAAGCCAGAGGCGCGUGUGAUGGUGCCCGGCUCUGGAAACCCCACCCCGGGGUGAACAGAAAUGAGGACUAUUGGAAAGUCUCACAUGUUUCUGACGACUAAGGCCUCUGGCCCAGUGACACCGGGUGUGACUGUGUUAGUCACUCAGAUGGUUCUGUGGUCGGUUUGCCCAAGGCGGGAGAUCUUCAAGGAAACUUGGAGGGUGUCAGAGGCAGAAGAGCAGUCGCGAGUGAAAUUCAGAGGCCUGCGACUCCUCGGCCACACCCUCCAAGCUGUUUUCACGUUGUUUCUAAGCCUUGGCUGCGUCGGUUCCUGCCUCAGGGGCUCAUAAUUGGCCGGGAUCUCUGAUGUCCUUAUACGUCAUCUAAUACACACUUGCAUUGUGUGUUAGUUCAAUACUGUUAUUUAACAGACAGAACCACAGAGUGGAAACUGUGAUCUAGAUACCCAGCCGUGGGGCCCUGGGCAAGCGACUUUGGGUCUCUGUGCCUCAGUUGUCUCAUCUGGAAAGUGAGGACGAUAAUCACAGUACUUCUCUCGCAGGCUGCUGUCAUACUUAAGUGAGUUCAUACGGACGGAGUGCUUAGAGCUGUGCUGGGCACUCAGCACGUGCUCACUAGGUGUCAGCUGCUCUGAUUUACCUCUUUAUCACUUAUACAACGCAAAGCCCACACACUUUCCCAUGAGCCCCACCACCGAAAGAACAAACUCCAAACUCCUCCCUCUCCAGGUCCAUCCUCCACAUGCCCCUCAGGUGAGUAGUCGUUCCCUAACCCUGCCCCAGCCCUGCAGGCAGGGAGCACCCCACAGGAGUCCAUCGAGUCCUUGGCGCAGGUCCAGUCUGUCCUACAAGCUGAGGGGGCAGCUCCCAGUACGACUUGGUCCCCACCCCUGAGGGACCAGCAGCUGACAUCCCCUCUCCCAAGACUGCGCCCCCUCCCAACCACUGCUCUGCAUCUCUGCCCAAUCUCCUCCUGCAUCUGGCCGUCUCUGCCUCCUUCCCUGUGGUGUGCCCCCGCCCCUGCCCCAUGUGGCAACUGCACUGACAUCUCGGCCUUGUCUGGGCAUCUCUACCCUUGGGACGAACAGGACCUAGGGGGUGGGCCACAAUCAUCUUACUACUUUCCAUCCCCAGCACCUAGAACACAACCUCGUACAUAGAUAAUGGAUUAA